GACGAACGCUGGCGGCGUGCUUAACACAUGCAAGUCGAACGAUGAAGCCCAGCUUGCUGGGUGGAUUAGUGGCGAACGGGUGAGUAACACGUGGGUGAUCUGCCCUGCACUUCGGGAUAAGCCUGGGAAACUGGGUCUAAUACCGGAUAGGACCUCGGGAUGCAUGUUCCGGGGUGGAAAGGUUUUCCGGUGCAGGAUGGGCCCGCGGCCUAUCAGCUUGUUGGUGGGGUAACGGCCCACCAAGGCGACGACGGGUAGCCGGCCUGAGAGGGCGACCGGCCACACUGGGACUGAGACACGGCCCAGACUCCUACGGGAGGCAGCAGUGGGGAAUAUUGCACAAUGGGCGCAAGCCUGAUGCAGCGACGCCGCGUGAGGGAUGACGGCCUUCGGGUUGUAAACCUCUUUCAGUACCGACGAAGCGCGAGUGACGGUAGGUACAGAAGAAGCACCGGCCAACUACGUGCCAGCAGCCGCGGUAAUACGUAGGGUGCGAGCGUUGUCCGGAAUUACUGGGCGUAAAGAGCUCGUAGGCGGUUUGUCGCGUCGUCUGUGAAAACCCGCAGCUCAACUGCGGGCUUGCAGGCGAUACGGGCAGACUUGAGUACUGCAGGGGAGACUGGAAUUCCUGGUGUAGCGGUGAAAUGCGCAGAUAUCAGGAGGAACACCGGUGGCGAAGGCGGGUCUCUGGGCAGUAACUGACGUUGAGGAGCGAAAGCGUGGGUAGCGAACAGGAUUAGAUACCCUGGUAGUCCACGCCGUAAAC
This 766-nucleotide ribosomal RNA is filed under the name uncultured bacterium. Its description in RNAcentral is "bacterial SSU rRNA". It matches the Rfam family "Bacterial small subunit ribosomal RNA", at positions 28 to 807 of the family's 1533-position model. The record is from RNAcentral.